RNAcentral lists this long non-coding RNA (209 nucleotides) under Sorghum bicolor (sorghum). RNAcentral's name for it is "long non-coding RNA (SBIC_LNC015483)". Lineage: Eukaryota; Viridiplantae; Streptophyta; Magnoliopsida; Poales; Poaceae. The record is from RNAcentral.
AGUCCACAUGAUUGAACUGCCUGGCCUUCUGUGGUUCCGCGGCAUUUGUGACUCCGUCCCUUAGGUUAAGAAGAAAGCACGUCAUUUGUUCGGUUGCCUAUUUGUCUUCAUAGGUACAAAACUGCUUUUGUCCCCAAUCUUUAUUCACGAUUUAUUUAGAGCUUGUUUAGUUACACCUAAAAACUAAAAACUUUUUAAGAUUCUCUGUC